Zonotrichia albicollis (white-throated sparrow) is the source of this 2331-nucleotide non-coding RNA. Lineage: Eukaryota; Metazoa; Chordata; Aves; Passeriformes; Passerellidae. The record is from RefSeq and is a predicted model, not a curated record.
GCCAUUAGCAGUCCAGCCUGAUUACUGGGCUCCAUCUGUUACCAAUGGCAACCAGUGCCACUGCCCGCGCUCUGACAGCAUUGUUUCCAUCUGCGCCCACAGGAGAAACUUCAAAUCUUAGAGUUUGAAAUCCUGAAACAACCUUGCAGACACAAUUAAUUAAUUAAUUUUCUUCGUAGGGAUUUUUUGUUUUUUCACCUGCAGCAAGCAAACUGACCCUUACCUUCUGUAGAAGCCAAUUAGCAGUUGGCUUCAAUUAUAACUUGUUCUAUGAAUUGAUAUCUCAGGUCUGUGCUCUUAAACUACGUGCAGUUCCCAGCACUGUGCAGCUUCUCCUUCCAAGACAGAUCUGGCCACGGUAAAUUUACAACUGGUAUUCAUCCUCAUCAAAGUUUUAUUACACCAAAGAAGAAACAGCCAGGCCAGUCUAAGAUAUGACUGACUCUCGUCUGCCUCUACUGUAAUAUAUUGAUCUUCCAGCACAACUGGAGGAACAAAUUCCUAGAUGAUAUACUGCCAGUUUCUUGAGAGAAAGCCUGCUAGCAGCAGCAUGUGUCACAUUAAACUGCCUGGCUGACUUGGAGAUGAAACAGAACCAGCUGGGAUGGAUGGGCUCCCUGGCCAACUCCAGAAGGAGCAAGAUGCCAAUGCAAGAUCCGGCAUUUCUGCCCUAAGCAUCCCACAAGAAACUGAGCACAGGGAGCUCUAGUUGGUACCUUUGUCUCAGGGUUGUUUAGCAACCCUUUUCCAUUCUCUGAAAGGACAACAAGGAAAUAUUUUUUCCUCCCAGGGAAUAUGUGAUGAUGGUCACAAGUGUUAGAGCAUUUCUGUGACAGGAUAAUGACCAUUCACAGCUGAAAGUUACAAACUGCAUAUCAAGUGUCCGGUGGGGUUUGGGAGGCAAUGACGAACAUUAAUUUCAGGACAUUUCUUUUGAAUUCAGGAAGAACUGACUGAGUGAAAAAGGGAUGAAGAUACCUCAAUGAAUUUCCUGCAUAUUGCAACAGCAUUGCGUCUGACCUGGUUUUGGUUUUCAUUAGAGAGCAUUUUUGAUUUGGUUUACAAUGUUUUGAGAAGGAAAUGUUAUCGAUUUUUUUCAGGAACAUAAUAUUGUGGGAUUUUACAUUUAUGAUGCAUUUUUAGUAAAAUCUUUAUUUUGAAAGCAGCAGAAGCAUAUUUCUAAUUUUUUCAUUUUGCUGCAUCUAUGUUAGCUAUAGUAGAAAAUCCAGAGCUGUUGAAGCUCUGCACUGACAUUGGCACAAACUGUCCGGCAGUGGAUAAGUGAAACACGCUGCAAUAUCCAUUACUCUCAUUUUAGCACUUCUAGUAUUUCUGUUCCUUUUGAGGCACAGUCUCUCACAAUCAGCUGAGCCCAUGAGAAACCUCCCAUCAUGGCACCUAAACCUGAUUUAUGUCAGCGUUAGGCCAGUGCCAAUGAGGACACCUCAGCCCCACGUCCCCAAAUAUUGAAGGAAAAUCAGUUUUCUGUAUGGGGAUUUUAUUUUUAUAGAUGAGUAUCUACAUCUGCAUGUAGAAAAGGAAGAAAGGAAGCAAAACAAAGAAUGAUAUAAAGGAAAAAAAAUAUCUGUACUUAAGGCAACCUUAGUAUCUUGAAUAAAACUCUCCGGCAGUUGUGAGAAAACUCUGAGACAAUCAUAUCAAAUGCUAGAUGACCUUCCCCUGUAUAUACUCAAGUUACCUUGGAGUUAACCAAGAUGAUGACAUAACCCAGACAAAUUAUUUAGGCUCCAUUACAGAUGACACUGGAAGAUUUGUAGUUAGUGACAGGGUUUCAUCUUGCCCAUAUUAAAGCACAGAAAAAUGUGGUCAGAGCAGCAAUGAAGCAGAGGAGGAGGAUGCAAUCUUAACAGGAAAGUGAGAUGACCAGCCACAGGAAGAAUGCACAGAAAAUUGUUGCAUUAUGAUAAUGGUGUUUGAUUGAUUUUACAGCAUCCUGCAAAGGAAUCAUAGCAAGACUUUUAGGAGAAAGCUAUAAUAUGUGUUGGCCCCCCAACAAAAAUUUUAUCAUUGGUAUGGAAAGGUAACCUCAAAUUAAGUAGUAAACACUGUCUUUGCAUAAUUCUGAGUAUAAUAGAAUACAAAAUGUGGUGUAAAAUUAAUUUAGAUGUAAUGAAAUCACUGAAGAAACUCUCUCUUGUGGUACAUCAGGACAACUCCAGAGGUGCCAGUUGGCUUGUAGAGGCAAUUUAGCCUGACUGCUUCAGUUUAUCAGUGUUACUGUAUAAAAAGCACUGCUUAUGGUGGGGAUUAGUUGUUGUCUCAUCUCACUUCAUGUUCUGAAUAAUAAAUGUUUAUGCAUGUUGCCUUCAA